This 430-nucleotide ribosomal RNA is filed under the name bacterium. Its description in RNAcentral is "partial 16S ribosomal RNA". It matches the Rfam family "Bacterial small subunit ribosomal RNA", at positions 355 to 776 of the family's 1533-position model. The record is from RNAcentral.
UGGGGAAUAUUGGACAAUGGGCGAAAGCCUGAUCCAGCCAUGCCGCGUGUGUGAAGAAGGCCGUUUGGUUGUAAAGCACUUUAAGCGAGGAAGAGGCUACUUAGAUUAAUACUCUAGGAUAGUGGACGUUACUCGCAGAAUAAGCACCGGCUAACUCUGUGCCAGCAGCCGCGGUAAUACAGAGGGUGGGAUCGUUAAUCGGAUUUACUGGGGGUAAAGCGUGCGUAGGCGGCUUUUUAAGUCGGGUGUGAAAUCCCUGAGCUUAACUUAGGAAUUGCAUUCGAUACUAGGAAGCUAGAGUAUGGGAGAGGAUGGUAGAAUGCCAGGUGUAGCGGUGAAAUGCAUAGAGAUCUGGAGGAAUACCGAUGGCGAAGGCAGCCAUCUGGCCUAAUACUGACGCUGAGGUACGAAAGCAUGGGGAGCAAACAGG